Molecule: non-coding RNA, 4134 nt
Organism: Anas platyrhynchos (mallard)
Lineage: Eukaryota; Metazoa; Chordata; Aves; Anseriformes; Anatidae
Source: RefSeq, a predicted model, not a curated record
CCCUCUGUUUUGGGCAAAAUAUUUUGCAAUUUUCCAAUGACCUUGCCAAUAAGAAAAUUAUUACCCAUAUAUCAUGGGAAAUGCCUGCUUUCUCCCAGGGCUGUAACGUUAAACUAUCACCAGUAAAAGACUGUGCUGGCUGCAAGUUUGGCAGGAACACGAAGAUCUUCUGGUAUGGUACGUUGCAUGAACUAUUGACUUGAGGAUGCCAAAAACUUCACCCCACUUUAAAUGAGCUCCAUUUUUUAAAAUAAAUCAGCACAUGAAUUGGAUGUGUUUAUUCCAGCAAAUCAGAGUGUCAGCCCCUGCACUGGGCUGACAUCACUGGCAUUUUUAUAAGAGGAUUCGAUCGGGAGUUAACAGUCGGAUUACUUAAUCAUCCCCCGGAACGGUUCUGUUGAGUUCUGAAGGCCGGAGGACAGCCGAGUGACCAUUUUUGCAGCUAAGUGUUAAAAUUGUCUUGACUCAAAGUGUCCCUUCCCCUGGCUGGGUAACGGUGCGUGCGUGCCAGGAGCUAUUCAUUGUGGAUGAAGAAUGGUUUUGUGGUUAAAGCUCUGGGCUGUGCUGUGGGAGCUCUGAGCUCAGGCCCAGAUUCUUCUUCAAUUUCCCUGUGUGACUCUGAGCAAGUCAUUUAAUCUUUCAGUGCCUCAAUUCUCUUCUGGUAAAGUGGGAAUAAUCCCAUUUCCCUUCUUCCACCCUUUGCUUUUACAGUGUUUGUUUUCGCUGUUGCCUGUUCGCUGCCUCCAUGUGAUGUAGAAAGCCGGCCAGUAACCAGAGUGUUAAAACGUUAUAAAAACACAAAGAAGAAUUUCGUUUCACUCCAUUCUUCGUAUUUCUAUUCUAAGUUGAGGAAGAUAAAGCUUGAUGGCGAUGCAGGCUGUUUAUACGCAGUGAUCUAGUCGUCCCAGAAAGCGGUGUGGCCAAGAAAUUGAAACAAGAUCUUGUGAAGUGCCAUUGCAAAUAAAUCUGCUCGACUUCCCCUCUGUCAAGGCGUCUCACGCUAGGGAAGGCCACUGGGAGUCAUUAAUCGUAUAAUGGAUAUACUUGGUGCUUUAAAAGGGCUGGUUUCCCAAAGAUUAAAGCAAUUAGGAGCAAAGUGGUUUGAAAAGGAAAAAAAAAUAAGAAGAAGAAGAAAAAAGAAACAACCCCAGACCAAACAGUGCAAAUGAUAACCGGAACAGUUUAAGAAAACUUCAGCAGGGGCCGUAAAAGUCACAGUUGUGCAGUAGUGGCAGAGGACUUGGUCCUGAAACCCAAACACCCUUCCCCUCCUUCGGCUGAGUGUAAAAGGGAAAUGAAUGCUACAGUAAAAAUACGCGUGUGGAAACAGCCACAAAUGAAACUAAAAGUAAAAUAUGGAACAGAUAGUGGAAGUAGGAAUGAUUGGUAUUUAGGCAAUAAGGCUGCUGGUGAAGGGAAUUUGGUAAAAGUUGAUGCUGGGGAUGAUGGAAGUGCCACAGCAGCACAGAAAAGAUGGGAGAAGUCCCCAUUCAGCUGUUCCUGCUUUCAAAAAAGACUUGGAUGAUAUUUUAGAAGUUGCAGAGGUACUGAGCUGAUUGAUAUUCCUACAGCCGAGCUGUUGAGCAGCAGCUGCUGCAGGUUAGCCGACGAGGUGCCGGAGCCAGCCCUGACAAUUAACAACCUCCCAGCACCAGGUGGGUCCCAGACCCAUGGAGGUAAGGUGUUGGGUCAGCACUUACAAGGGUUACAAGGGCCAGAUCAGCAGCAGUGACCUGUUUAGCUGGGGAUUAAUUCAACAGAAAAUCAUGAGCGAGCUGCGAGCUGUCUGGCCGACAGCAGCACCUACUGCCUGUUCUUCGUGGGCAGAAGCCGAGGAAUGGUAAAGCUCCUGCCUACAAACCAAAAGGGCAAAUACCUGAUUCUUCUGAGCCUUCAGAACCUCCUGCCCCAAAUACAUACCCGUGGAAUCAGGGUGAGCACUGGACACCUAGAGAUGUAGCCGAGAGCUCCUUCUCUGUGCAGAAGCAAUUCACAACCACUCUGUUGCUUUUCCCAAGCAUCUUGCACUGUCAAGGUAGCUUCUCAUCUGUUUUCCUCCGAAGAGGGUGGCAAAAUGCCCUAAAUUCCUGGUGAGAUGGGCUAAGCCGUUCUGCACACCUCGGGAGGGUGCGCUCUGACAGCCCGUGCUUUGCCCUAUGGGGCCAUCCAGAAAUAACUUCAGCAGCACCGAGUUCAAACCCAGCAUUUAGGUUCCUUUGUGGGGAAAAGAGGGGGGAAAAAAAAGUGAUGAUUAACGCAGCAAGCAGCGGGUAAAAAGGCCUCUUCGUUUUUGACAGGUGCAUUGUGCAUUCUGGGCUGCCAGCCAAGGCACAUUGUCAUCAAAUGUUAAUCAAACCUGCAAAUAAUAUACAAAGUAUUAAAUUGUGCUUAUUCCCUGAGUAAUCUGAGACGGAAAUUUAUCAAACCUUGCUAUACGUUAAGGUCCUUUAAGAGGAGGAGAAGCAGAACUAUGAAGCUGAUAAAAGGGCUGGGGCCAGCACCCUGUUUGGGCAGAAUUAAGCGUUUCCAACCCCCGAGUGUUUUCCUUCAGCAUCGUUCAAUGUGAGCAGUUAAAUCCACGGGUAAAGGGGAGCAGGCAGGGAGAGGAACAUCAGAAAUCUCCCUCCAGCUGCAUGCUUAAAGCUGUAAUUUUUUGGUCUUCUGUGUGGCUGUGCCCUGAUUCAUAUGGACAAAAGCUGCAGGCCCCUGUCCCUGGCCUUUUACAUCAUCUUUUAUGUCUUUGAGUUGCUUUGUGCCCCGUGUAGACCCUGUAACCAAGGGCUCUCCUUCCCCUCCUGCUUUAUGGUGAUCUGAGAGAGGUGAAGCUGCCCCGUCCCCGGAGUGGUCUCUGCUGCGUUUGGAGCUGAUUUAGGAACGUGUUGAACCCAGAACUCUUACCUUUUACCCUAGGUCAUGAAUCUUUGCUGCGAGGGUGGCUUCUCAGGAUGCCAAGGGCCGUGUUCAGGUGUGAACGGGGCAGCUCUGGGUUACCCACAGCAGGCACGGCCGAGGGAGAUGCCGGGGCACUGCGCCCAUCCUGAGGGCUGCCGAUACGCCUCAGCACCCUGCCUGAUGGCUCUGCAAAUCUACCAGCGUGUGGCUUGAAGGUGUGGCCGCGGUGUUAAGCCCCAAACACAGCUGCUCCCACAGCUCCCAGCCUCCCGGCAGCAUUUCUCAGGCUGGACCCACGCGGCGUGCUGCGCCCGGCCCCCAGCACCCUGCGUGUGCUCCCGAGAGUUGUACUGAGCUUCCUGAGGCUCCUCCAUUGGGUGUGCUUUUACUCGUGGAGUCCUUCCCAGUUCUUUGCUCAAAGCCUACCCAGAAAGGAUUUUCCUUGAAAUAUUUCUCAGGAAUGGGCUUCUUUCCCAUACUUCGAGUGGGAGGGAUGGAUGGAUAUAACAUGAGCAUAACCGUGUGUAAAUGCAGGUGAGAACAAAACUCAUCCAGAAGCUCUACACCAAGGCUAGCUGAGCUCUGCAAUGAGACCUGUUCGUUUUCCUUUGGGGCCUUGAAGGAGAGCGGAGGUGUUGUCCUGGUGUACAAGGAGGGGCUGGCAAAGAGCUGAACCCGGAUCCUGCCUCUGCUGAGCAGCCCCCGUCUGCCCUCUCCCAGCCUCGUCUGCGCUUCUCAAGAAUGCGAUUGCUUCGCAGGCUGUCCCCUCAGCAAAGCAGAAAUGUAGCAACCCAAACUUUUCCUCCUCAAGAGUCUGCCUUGCCAAUGGCCUUUGUCAGGGCCAGGUUGUUAUCAGCGCGAUGCCUGAUGUUUACUUUUCAGUGCCAGUAAAUAAAUCUCAGGCCCGCUUGACCCCUCGCUCUUCAGCCUCCCCCAUGCUGAAAACAAAAAUGCUGCUCUGGAUACAAUCAACCAGUUCGGUUCAAGUCCUGCUUUUCAGGAUCUGAGUCUGAAACUGGUGGUCUCGGAGUCUCUUAAUGCCAUUAAAGCUCAGAUUUCAAAGAUGUGUGCCUUGGAGCUUUUGGGUUUGAUUUAAAGAUAAGCCACUCAGGCUAUGUUGAUCAAGGGAGUGUCUUUAUGUGAAUUUUCCUUUUCAAAUAAAUCCAGGCCAAGAUUUAUCGGAUCCUUCUAAAGGCAUGUGUUACUGGAAGACAUUCCUGCCUGCUUCCAGCUCUUCUCCCU